Molecule: ribosomal RNA, 1240 nt
Filed under: metagenome
Description: bacterial LSU rRNA
Rfam family: Bacterial large subunit ribosomal RNA
Source: RNAcentral
UGAAUACGAGAUGCUACGGCGUCGAAGCAGUCUAUGUCAUACUUCCAAGAAAAGCUUGCACUGUCAUAAACAAUAAUGCCUGUACCAUAACCGACACAGGUGGGUAGGUAGAGUAUACUAAGGGGCGCGAGAUAACUCUCUCUAAGGAACUCGGCAAAAUGACUCCGUAACUUCGGGAGAAGGAGUGCCUUAUUUAUAAGGUUGCAAUAACAAGAUCCAAGCAACUGUUUACCAAAAACACAGGUCUCCGCUAAGUCGUAAGACGACGUAUGGGGGCUGACGCCUGCCCAGUGCCAGAAGGUUAAAGAAGUUGGUUAGCAUCCGCGAAGCUGAUAACUGAAGCCCUGGUGAACGGCGGCCGUAACUAUAACGGUCCUAAGGUAGCGAAAUUCCUUGUCGGGUAAGUUCCGACCCGCACGAAAGGCGUAAUGAUUUGGAUACUGUCUCGGAGAGGGGCUCGGUGAAAUAGACUUGUCUGUGAAGAUGCGGACUACCUGCACCAGGACAGAAAGACCCUAUGAAGCUUUACUGUAACCUGAAAUUGAAAUUGGACUUUACUUGCGCAGUAUAGGUGGGAGGCGUUGAGAAUAUUCUUGCGGGAUUAUUGGAGCCAUCAGUGAGAUACCACUCUUGUAAUGUUAGAUUUCUAACUUUGUAUCAUUAUCUGGUCAAAGAACAGUUUCAGGCGGGCAGUUUGACUGGGGCGGUCGCCUCCUAAACGGUAACGGAGGCGCACAAAGGUUUCCUCUGAACGGGUAGAAAUCGUAUCUAGAGUGUAAAGGCAUAAGGAAGCUUGACUGUGAGACCUACAAGUCGAGCAGGGACGAAAGUCGGUCUUAGUGAUCUGACGGUGCUGAGUGGAAAGGCCGUCACUCAACGGAUAAAAGUUACUCUAGGAUAACAGGCUGAUCUCCCCCAAGAGUUCACAUCGACGGGGAGGUUUGGCACCUCGAUGUCGGCUCAUCGCAUCCUGGGGCGGUAGUACGUCCCAAGGGUUGGGCUGUUCGCCCAUGAAAGCGGUACGCGAGCUGGGUUCAGAACGUCGUGAGACAGUUCGGUCCAUAUCCGGUGUAGGCGUUAGAAUAUUGAGAGGAGCCUUCUUUAGUACGAGAGGACCGAGAAGGACAUACCUCUGGUGUACCAGUUAUCGUGCCAACGGUAAACGCUGGGUAGCUAUGUGUGGAGUGGAUAACCGCUGAAAGCAUCUAAGUGGGAAGCCCACCUCAAGAUAAGUAUUCGC